RNAcentral lists this long non-coding RNA (35130 nucleotides) under Eutrema salsugineum. RNAcentral describes it as "long non-coding RNA (ESAL_LNC001861)". The stretch from base 22570 to 22676 matches the Rfam family "Plant small nucleolar RNA R71". The record is from RNAcentral. Lineage: Eukaryota; Viridiplantae; Streptophyta; Magnoliopsida; Brassicales; Brassicaceae.
AAGUAACACAGUGACAGCAGUCGUGGUGCCUCCGAAUAUAGACAGUACGGAGAUUGUGAAAAGGGCAUGGAAGAGAUACAACCUAAGUCUUGGUCUUGGUCUCAACAAAGUGGCUGGAAAGGUUUUCAGAAUUGGUCACCUUGGAAACCUUAAUGAGGUACGUUUCUGUAUUUGUAAUCCAACUAUUUAAUUAAUUAAAUUUUAAUCAACAUUACAACAUAAAACGCAGUUGCAACUUCUUGGGUGUUUGGCUGGAGUGGAGAUGAUACUAAAGGAUGUUGGGUACCCAGUUGUUUUGGGAAGUGGAGUUGCAGCUGCUUCUACUUAUCUUCAGCACCACAUUCCUCUCAUUCCCUCUAGGAUCUAAAUCACAUCCCCAUUUCUCUGUUCUCUCUCUCUCUCUCUCUUUCUCUCUCAAUGUAAAAUCACUCUACUAUUUUCUCUUUUCUCCAAUUAUAUUUUACUACAUUAUCUAUGUUUUUAUGUGCUAUUCUCAACAAACUCAUUAAACAAAAGGUCAAAAUUAUUUAUUUCUCUCACACAUUAGUUUUUCUCACCAAGAAUCACUUUUAUUGGUACAAUGGAUGUUAUUACAAUGGUAGUGGAUAUGAAAUCGAGUCAGAAACUAUGUCUGGGAAGAGGAUUUUUGUCUAGUUAGAAAGAAAUGUGUGAUCUCUCAACCGAAGAUAUGUACAUAUAUGGUUUGAAACACUAGCUGGCAAAUAGGAUUAAAUUUGGGGGUAAGUGUCUACCAAAAACCUCUGUUUAAGUAUAAAAUCAGAGGAGUUUGUUCAAACUGACGUGUAUGAGUAGUAGGACAAGUAUGAUUUCUAAAGUGUUUGAGGCUUAAGUUGGAAGAAAGCUCUUAGUCGAUAUUCUGGAAAAAUGUAGCAUUAUACCCAGAUGGAUACUGUUUUUUUUUUUUUGGGGGGGGGGGGUGGGGGAGGGGGAGAGGUUAUUUUACUAGUAGCUAGAAGUCAUUGUACCGAAGAAUACACAAGAGAGAUAACUAACAAUAACCUACAUUUUUCUGGUCUAAGACCAUCUCUAGUGUUAACUUUGCUAUCUGCAUUUUUAGAUACUGGAUAAUGCAUAUAGGUGUGUGGAAUUAGAGAAGUUUGAUGGGAAAAGGAAACUACAUUCUUUGAAAAGGCAAUAUUCUAGCUUGCUUAUAGAUCUUGGGGUUACUAGAAGCUUUGAAAGACGAAGAAGUAUUAUCAAGUCACUAAGAACAAGUCUGAGAGAUAGGAGAGAAAACUCAGUAAAAGAGAGGUUCAAAUUGUGAAAGUCCAUAUACUUUCAGAGAAAACAGAAACACUAUAUCAAAUUUUUGGUCUCAGUCUAGGUGAUAAACUGAGUUUUACCAGUUUCUAACCUUUGUUUUUAAUUAAGUAAAAGUUUCAAUUUAGAAUCUUUUUGGUCAUUUAUCAAAUCUUUUCAGGGUUUAAGUCGUUUGGAGGAUGAGCCGAAAAUAUGCAUAUGCAGAUGUAGGAUCGUACAGAGGCGACAACCUUUGGCAUUUACUGAAUGACUUCUCAUGAUGUAUAAAACUCAAGUUUAAAGAUAAAGCAUUGGGUUAAAUGUUAUGUGGAAGUAGUUUCAAGUCGUUCCUAUUGUGUGAACGAAAGUUAUGUCAGUUUUUGUGAAAACAGUCUAGUCUGACGAAAAAAAAACCAUGUACAUGAAAUUUCUAAGGAUCAAAGGAUUGACUGAUCCAUGCACAGGAAACACAUAGAAAUUUCUAGAAACUAACAGAUCCACUCGUGCAUCAUCCUAAUUUACCCAAAUCUAAACCUAGACCUAUUGAGACUACAUUUUUUGAGACACUAUUUGAGGCUAACCUUUAUUAUCUACAGGUCUAUUUUCAUAUUGGGGAAAAGAAUCUUGGACUAUACUGGUGGUUUCCAAAUUUUAGUUCGUAAUCUACUCUACCCAAGUGCAAGGCAAUGUUGUUGAGUAUGAUAGGAUCGAACCAUAAGGAAAGACUUUCAAAACUAUUAAGAAUACAAGCUACUUUAUAAACUAAGCAAAUCAAAAAACAUUUCUUUGAGCUUUCUAAAAAACUACUUUAAGUUCAAGCUCAAAUAUAAAAAGCUACGAUCAAGAAGGUAAACAACUUAAAUCAAAUCAAAUUAAAAUAUAUGGACAAUAGACUAAGGUCAAUGACUCGAUAUUAUUAAUAACUGGUUAAUGAUGCAAACUCAUUCAAAUCACCCCUAGAAGGCAUAGAUCACAUGAACUAGAUUAAUCACUAUGAUAAAUUAAUCCAUUUACUAAUACUAGCCUAAUAAAUUUCUCAGUAGUUAGCUAGAGCUUUGCAAUCUUUAAAUUUAAGUCUAUCUAUCCAAAAUAAAUAAAAAGUCUAUCUACCCAUAAACCACCUUAAGCAUGCAACCUUCACUGGAUUAAGAGUGAACUGCAUUAUUAAUUUAUUAGAGUUGAACUAGAUACUUCUAAAAUACUUCUGAUUAAAAAUAAGAUCAACUUCUAAAAUACCAUCAAUUCAGUUAUCUAAGAUGAAGAAACCCCUCUCUCUCAGCAGCAAAAGGAUGGCGAUGAUAUACGAUAUCUAAAUGAGGUUGAUUUGGCGAUGGAAUCUAGUAUCGGUUUGUAUGGAGUUCCUUCUGGAAAUUAAGGUGGAGGGUGACUCUACCGCGGAUGAACCAGAUUUAGUACGGGAAUUCGGUUCGAUCCCACAAAAGGAUCUAUGGGAAAGAAGUGAUCUGCCUGGGAACUUCAGAUCUGUGUAUUUUCAUUCUGAUUUAAUUAAGAUACGGGGAAUAAUUUAUUAUGGUAGCUCAUGGAUGAUUAUGAGAUUGCGAUGGGUUUGGAUUGACCAAAUCAAACACAAAGGAAAUUCGGAUCUUCAUAGUACGGGAAGAGUCUCUUGUUGGGGGAGUGGAGCUAGACGCUCUACAUGGAUUGAUUCUGAAAGUAACAUUACAGAUACAUCUCCCGAUAUAGUGAAGCAGAGAAUAGUUUCGGGGAAGGAAAGUAUAAGAACAGGAUCAAGAGGAAUUGAUACGGAGAAGAGAUCUAAGGAAUCAGACUAUACGAAAAUGACAUCGGGGAAAUUAAUAGAUGAAUCACAGAUGAGAUAUCAUGAUUCUAUCUGUAGAAAGACAAGUCGGAGGUUACCACAUUAUAAAGAGGAGCAGAGAGGCACAAAUCUUACUCAUCCCUCUCUCAUUCAUCGAUUCCAAAUUCUCUUUUUUCAAGCUUCUUCUCUUUCUUACAAUGCGGUGGUUCUUAUACAGUCUGAGCGGAUGUCUCAAGGUUUGCUAAUCGGGGCUAAAGGAUCUCAAAUCGGUCAGACUGGCAUGGAGAAGAAGGUUGCAAUUUCCCUGAAACGUAUGAAGAUCACGGUCCCGAAAUUUGACAACUCUAGUCUCAUUGAAGGAUAUUCACGUACCUUGAUUGGGAGGUGUAUGAAUCCUCACCUUCAAGACAUGAAGGCGCUGCUGUACAUGCUUCCUCGGAUUUGGAAAGUAGAGGACAUAGUUGCAGGUGCAGAUUUGGGAAUGGGAAAAUUCCAGUUCAUGUUUGAUAAAGAAGAAGAUGUUCUCGAGGUGAUGAAAAUGGAACCUUUCCAUUUUGAUUACUGGAUGCUAUCUCUUGUUCGGUGGGCUCCGAUUAUUGAUCCAAGUUACCCUUCGAUGAUCAAAUUCUGGAUCCGCAUCAUUGAAGUUCCUCUCCACUACUGGGCAGAUGUUACUUUCCGAAGCAUCAGAAAGGCUCUUGGUAAGGUUGAGGAGGUGAAUGUAGAUGACGUAAAAGUACAGGUGAUCAUCGAUGGCUUGAAACCUCUGUAUUUUGAAACAACGGUGGAGUUUGACGGUGGAGAGGAGACAACGGUUUUCUUGCGGUAUGAGCGUCUAUUUGGAUUCUGUAGGAUCUGUCACAGUCUUUGUCACGAUCAGCUGAGGUGUCCUACUCGUGUGAGUAGCGAUGGAAGGAGAACAUGGGAAGAUCAGCAGGAUGAGGAACAAAAUGGCAAGAGUCCAGCUUCGUAUAGAACAGCAACAACACAUGGUGUCAACAAGGAGCUAGGUGGAAACUUUAAACGGAAUGGUAAAUCACAUACGGUGGUGGAGGAUGGAAGACAACACAAAGAAAGAACGGAAAGGAGGUCUGGUGAGGGCUCGUCGAGGGUCUUAAGACCACAUGGUUACAUUCCUCCAAGGGAAUUUCAGAAGAGGUCAUCAAGAUCAAAAAGUGUGGUCUUUGAAUCACAAGGCAACAGGUCUUUGGAUGUUCAGGUGCCAAAAGAAACACCUGGAGAGCAACAUUUGGUGCAGGAAGACAAACAAGAGGAACAUUUGGUUUCGGUGGAGCCACUUUGUGAAAAAUCAGCAAGGAAGAGUCUGGAUUUUGAGGGUGAUGACUUUCUCGAUUUUGACACUACGGAGAAAGAGCUCACUGGGGUUGCGGACGUACUGUUAAGAAAGGAGACGGAGGCACCGGUUUCAGAAACAGUAAACAAAGCACCAGAAGGAAAAACAGAGAAUCACGAUGCUAUACAAGAGUUCUUACAACAGGUUAAUAGCGGUUUGGAAACAGGGGAGCUCCAACUAAAUUUGGAUGCUGAGUUUGGAGGCAUGGAUCAGGAAGAGGCAGAGUUCAUGGGAAACGCAAAUGGGGCUUUACAGAGGGUACAAGAUGGCUCAGAAUAAGGGCACAUCAGUGAAGGCGAUAUCCAAAUGGCGGAGGUGAAUGAUGUUUUUGACGAAGGUUCCAAACAGGGUACAAAGAAGAAAGCCACGAAGAUAAACUCAAAAUAUUUAGGCGGUGGCUCAAAGAAGAGAAUGGUGCAAGCACUAAUUUCCCCACGUAAGAAACAGGUGGCAAAAGUCAUAAACCGUAACGGAGACGGUAGCUCUCAAGGCGCUCCAAAGGGUCCAUCAAACCCGAGAGAGGGGCGGAAAUUGGAAACAAGCAUUAAUAAAUGAGAAUUCUAAGCUGGAAUUGCCAAGGACUUGGGAAUCGCUGGACAAUAAGCUAUCUUCGGGAGGUUUGGAAGAAACACAGACCAGAGUUUAUGUUUCUCUCAGAAACCAAACAAGAUUUUUCUUUUUUACAAAAAUUUCAGUUUCAUUUUGGUUAUAAUAAAUUGUACACGGUUGAGCCGUGCGGUGCAAGUGGUGGACUUGCCUUAUUUUAUAAUGAUUCUUUUGAUGUCACAAUUUUAUUUUCAAAUAAUCGGAUUAUUGAUAUUGAAGCGAAUAUUCUCGGAAAAAAAAAUGAACCUCUCGUUUAUUUAUGAGGAUCCAGUGUCAAAAAAUCGGGAUAGAGUCUGGGAAAGAUUAACACGUAUGAGUCUCACACGGUCGGAUCCUUGGUUCAUUAUUGGAGAUCUAAACGAGAUAACGGGUAAUAAUGAAAAACAAAGAGGCCCGUUAAGACAUGCUUCUACCUUUGUGUCUUUUAAUUUAAUGAUAAGGGACUGUGGCUUUUUAGAAUUCCCAUGUUUAGGAAAUAAAAUGUCUUGGAGGGGACGAAGAAAUUCAAAAGUCGUUAGAUGUCGUCUAGACCGGGCUUUAGCGAAUGAAGAUUGGCAUGAGGUUUUCUCACACUCCUUUGUUGAGUAUCUCGCAAUGAUUAGAUCAGAUCAUAGGCCAAUUGUGGCUACAAUUGAGGAUAAAAUGACACGGAAAAAAUUACAAUUCCGUUUUGAUAAGAGGUGGCUAGAAAAAGAGGGUUUAAUGGAAUCUAUCUCCAAAGGUUGGGACUUUGAUCCGGGCGAUGGGGAAGUAAAGUUCAUGGACAAAGUACGGAAUUGCAGAAGAGAAAUAUCCAAAUGGAGAAAAACCCUUAAGCCAUAUGGGCAGGAAAGAAUUAACGAAUUGAAAAAGAUAAUAGAAGACAUCCAGAAUGAUGAUACAAGGACAGAUGAGGAAUUGAUGGAGGUCACAAAAAAGUUGAAGGAAGCUUAUAGGGAUGAAGAAUUAUAUUGGCAACAAAAAAGUCGCUCUCAUUGGGCCAAGGCAGGAGAUAAAAUACAAAAUUUUAUCAUGCACUGGUUAAACAAAGAAGAGCACAGAAUCGAAUUAUUGGCUUGAAUAAUGUGGCAGGAACAUGGGUUACUUCAGAAAAAGAGGUUGAGCAGGUGGCUGUUAAAUAUUUUGAUGAGUUAUUCACCUCGACUUCGCCAACGGAAUUUGAUGAGGCAUUGGGAAAUAUUAAACCAUCAAUAUCGGAGACAAGUAAUGCAAUGCUCACGGCUAUGGCAUCCGAGGAGGAAAUUAAAAAAGCACUAUUCAUGAUGCAUCCGGAAAAAGCUCCGGGACCCGACGGAAUGACAGCACUCUUCUACCGACGCUCAUGGCAAAUCAUCAAGGCGGAUCUUGUACGUUUAGUCAACGGGUUCUUGGAGACAGGGGUUUUUGAUGAACGACUAAAUAUGACAAAUAUAUGUUUAAUCCCAAAAACAGAAAGGCCAACGAGAAUGACUGAACUACGGCCUAUUUGCCUGUGUAAUGUAGGUUACAAAAUUAUAUCUAAAGUACUCUGUCAAAGACUUAAAAGGUUAUUACCGGACCUGAUCUCGAAAACACAAUCAGCUUUUGUGGCACGACGACUGAUUUCAGAUAAUAUUCUAAUAGCACAAGAGAUGUUUCAUGGCCUGCGGACUAAUAAUUCAUGCAAAAAUAAAUAUAUGGCGAUAAUGAUGGACAUGAGCAAAGCCUAUGAUCACGUGGAAUGGGCUUUUAUUGAAGAUCUCUUGAAACGACUUGGUUUUGCGGAGAAAUGGAUAACAUGGAUAAUGCGAUGCAUCACCUCGGUAAAAUACAAAGUUCUAUUAAACGGACAACCAAAGGGACAAAUAAUCCCAGGGAGGGGACUCCGUCAAGGGGAUCCUCUAUCUCCAUAUUUAUUUAUACUAUGUACGGAAGUUCUAAUUUCAAAUAUAAAGAAAGCUGAAGAGGAAAAAUUAUUGACCGGCCUAAAAAUUGCACGAGCAAGUCCAUCGAUCUCACAUCUACUUUUCGUGGAUGACAGCUUAUUUUUUUGUAAAGCAAAUAAAGAUGAAUGCCAGAAGAUUUUGGCUAUACUGAAACAGUAUGAAAGGGUCUCGGGACAACAAAUUAAUUUUGAUAAAUCUUCAGUUCAAUUUGGGCAUUUGGUCUCGGAAGACGUUAUAAAUGAUAUAUAUGAAACAUAUUUUAGGAAUUUCUUGUGAUGGAGGGACGGGAUCCUAUUUAGGUAUCCCGGAAAGCCUAGGUGGCGCCAAAACCAAAAUCUUUAAUUUUGUAGCUGAAAAACAACAUGAUCGGAUCAAUAGCUGGACAUCACGAUUGUUGUCGAAAGGCGGUAAAGAGGUUCUGAUUAAAUCGGUGGCAUCCACAAUGCCUACCUUUGUCAUGUCAUGCUUUCGAUUACCUAAAUCUACUGCGGAAAAACUAACAAGUGCAGCAGCAAGGUAUUGGUGGAGCUCUGAUGGACAUCAUCAUGGUAUGCACUGGGUAGCGUGGAAAAAAUGUGCAGAGAAAAAUCAGAAGGAGGUAUCGGUUUCCGAGAUGUAGAGGAUUUUAACACGGCUUUAUUGGCAAAACAAUUAUGGAGGUUGAUUGAUAGGCCAAACUCCAUGUUUACACAGGUAUUCAAAGGACGAUAUUUUCGGAACUCAAGUCCUUUGGAUACAGCGAAAUCCUACUCGCCGUCGUAUGGAUGGCGGAGCAUAAUCUCGGCUAGAUCUUUGGUUAAAAAAGGGCUAAUCAAAAGAGUUGGUUCAGGAUGCUCUAUUUCUGUAUGGAAUGAUCCUUGGAUACCUUCUUCUCGCCCGAGAUCAGCCACCUGUAAGGGGUUUAAUUAUUACCCCAAUCUUAUGGUUAAUCAUCUGAUUGACCCAGUGAAAAACUCAUGGAAUCUGGGUCUGAUAAAGGCAAUUAUCAACCCGAGGAUGUGGAAAUUAUUCGUGGAAUUCCCAUUAGUAGAUCUUAUAGGCCAGACUCAUUGGGCUGGCACUUCACAAAAUCUGGACGAUACACGGUAAAGUCGGGGUACAAAACUGAGCGGUAUUUUUCGGAGAGGAUCUCAGAGGUCUCAUUUGGCCCAGAUAUUAAAGUUUUACAAGCAUAUACUUGGAAACUGAAAUGUGCGCCGAAAUUACAACAUUUUAUAUGGCAAGCAAUCUCUGGUUGCCUAUCAGUAUCGGCUAGGUUACAUACUCGGAGAAUACAAUGUGACACACAAUGUGCACGGUGUGGAGCAGCAGAAGAGACAAUUAAUCAUGUUCUGUUUGAAUGUCCUCCUGCGUUACAAACGUGGGCAUUAUCAUGAAUUCCAACACCCCCAGGGGUUUUUCCAGGGCCAUCGGGUUUUUCGAAUUUUGAUCAUCUGUUUUGGAGACUUCCAAAGGAGGAAAAUAACAUACAAUUUCCAUGGAUCGCAUGGUAUAUUUGGAAGGCUCGAAACGAGAAAGUGUACUCAAAUACCGAUAUAGAUCCACGGGUUACACUAAAAAUAGCGGAAACAGAAGCGAAUUUAUGGGAAGAGGCUCAAAGUUCAGAACAGGAUUUAACACAUAUAGAUCUUGUCCAUACUACAAGCUUGUCAAUACCUAUAGUCUAUGAAGGCUGGUGGUGUUAUAUUGAUGGAUCGUGGAAAGAUACGGAGCCAGUAACGGGUCUAGGAUGGUUUUAUUUUAAGGAAGGUGUUACAGGAAAUAUAAUGGGAGCACAAAAUGUAAGACGAAGUCUUACGCCUCUGCACGUAGAAAUGGAAGCCCUUAUAUGGGCUAUGCAUUGUAUGUUGGAGAAUCAAAAGAUGGAAGUCGCUUUUGCUACGGACUGUUCAGAGUUGGUGAAGAUGGUGUCUACACCCGAAGACUGACCGGCUUUUGCUCUACACUUGGAGGAGAUAAUGAAGAUGAAAGACAGAUUCCGCUUCUUUCGUAUAUCCCAUAUCCCACGCGCAAAGAACUCGAAGGCGGAUAACCUAGCAAGGAGUGCUCGGAUCUACCCUCAAAAUGUUAUGUAUGUACACUCAAUACCACCAGUUUGGUUAACCCAACCGUACUAGACAUUGAGGCUGUUGACAAAAAAAAAAAAAAAAGGAGUUGAACUAGAUAUUUCACCAAACACCUUUAGUACAUGAAAUCCCCCCUUGAGCUAGGUUGUGAUUAGCAAUGUCAAACCUAGUAUUAGAAAACUAUAAUCAUCUAGGUUAGAUGCAUAAAUAUGCUAAAAUAGACAUCAUUAACCAAUUCUUAAUAAAUCUUUACCUAACACAACGCCCAUAGAUAAACAACUCAAACAUGGAGAAUGACUUUAUACCAAAAAAAAGGGAUUAAAGAGGGUAUUAAAAAAUAUAUUAAAAGUAAUGAUUCACUCAAGAUCCAAAAACAAUCAUAUUAAGAGGUAAAGAAAAUGUAAUGGGAAUAUAGUUGUCAUAUAUAUCUAGAUAUAGAAAUAUUUAUACUAAAAAGUGGCUAAUCGGGUCUAGCCAAAUAAAACCGGACUGGACUCAAAUAUACCAACGCUGAGACAAGUAUUGUAUAGUCGAGUAUGGUAGUCAAGUAACCGCCAUGUCGAUCAUCAGAAUCACUUCUUAUUUAUCUUCGAGUCUUCGUCUUCAUUGAUGUUUAGACCGCUACCAGUUGCACCAGGGGUUCGUGCUUAAUUUUGAGCUGUUCAUCGAUCUUCCACAUCGAUCCAGCAAUCGAUAUAGAGGUCUUCAGAGGGUUAGUCUUAGUAUUUCCCUUUUUACUCGUUUUACCGCCUUCUUGCAUCGAUCCAACAACUGAUGUAUGCCUCUCGCCUCUUGAUGCCUCUGUUUGCACGUUAUGCUGAGAGUGUUCUCCUUUCCAAGCCUCUAAAAGAAACUACAAAUGUGAAAUUGUAUAUGCAAAAUGCUAUAUGGUCAUCCUAAGUUCCUAAAAGUGCAAUAAAAAGCUAAGACUAAAAUGCAUGGAUGCGAAUGAAAUUAAGCAAAAAGUGGUCGACACAAUGAGAAAUACUAACUAAAAAUGGUAAAAAAUAUUCGUUUAACACAAAAUCUAUUGGGUUGAUCCAUUUGAUCCAUUUAGACACCUCUAGGUUGGACGUACAAAUCUUGAAGUUGAAAACUGUACGGACAUUUCCAGAACAAUUAAAAUAAGUAUGGUGUGUUUUGGUAACAAGGCGAUAUUGACUGCAACUAGGAUUUCUUACUUCUCUGUCAUGAUGAUGCCGUCAGCGACCCUUCCGCCAGGGCAGGGUAAAAAUUUGGCUCAGGAAGUUGAUUUGGAUACCGUAAAAGGGACUCCAGUUGCAGUUGUUGAUUCAAGGAAUGUUUCUUCUGAGAUGAAUGAUGUUGUGGAAGUUUUAGGUUCGCAAACCAGGGAUGGGAUGAAGGAAGUAGGUACUCAAGGGUGGUGCAUGGUUGGCGGUGGUCCAAAACAGGCUGACGAUGCAAAGAUAUGAUUUCACAGUAAAGAAGUUAAUGGUAUUGAAACUAUUAAGGUACCAACGGAAUGUUUUAGAGAACUCUCUCCCGCUAUGGGAAGAUCUCUUUGUCGAAAAGUUUCUUGAUACAACUCUGCAUAUGGGGAAAGUCCAUGUGUCAGUGAAUAAAAUCUGCCCUCUAUCGGAUAAAACAGUGAGAAUAUGCAUUUUUUGUGGUUGAUAAAACCACUAUAAAGUUCAGAAUCAAAAAUGAGACGUUAGAAAAUGAAGUCUUGAGAAGGCGUAUGUGGAAUUUAUGCGAUGUCCCUAUGACCAUAUCUACAUGGAGUCCGAUGCUAGAAAAAAUGCUACCAGAGUUAAAGUCGACACCAUUAUGGGUGGUUGUUAAGAAUGUCCCACGACCUAUGUUUGCGUAGAAAGGAUUAUCCUUUUUGACAAGUCCAAUUAGUGUUCCAAAGCAUUUACACCCAGAUACUGAGCUCUGUAAAAGCUUUGAAAUGGCUCGUGUGUUUGUUGAGGUCGACUUAACGAAACCACUGCCAAGGUCCUAGAAUUUUGAAAUGGAGGGAGGACAGUGCAUAAAACAUUCCUACGAAUAUCCAUGGCUACCGGCAAAGUGCAGCAACCGUGAGAAGUGGUGACAUAAACAAGUCGAAUGUGUUCUGAAAAAGUUUAAACCCGAAGAUUCAUUUGAGUCCUAAAAAACUAGUGUUUUCUACACAAUAGGAUGUCGUGAUUAGGCAACAAGAGAAACAAAGUGUUCCUAUGGUAGUAGCAGACGGUGUUUCAUCUUCUAUAAAAAACGAUGUGGUGGAAGGAGAAUCAAAUAUGCCAGUGCGGUCAGUCAUAUCGUCAGGCAACGUGACGAACGAUCUAAAAUUCAGAGAAGUCAAUAUUCUCGCUAAUUCCUGAUUUUUUCCCUUGAUGAGACAGAGGAGAGGAGGGAGAAAAAAAUCCCAGUGUUUGAAAUGGAUUGAAAAAAUAAGAGUUGAUUAAUGAUAAGCAAGGUGCAGACGAAGGAAGGGAUACAAAGAAUGUAAACGCGUCAAAUGAAUCCGAAGCUACGAUGCCAUAGAUGUUACAUGGCUCAGAUGGAGGUUCUGAACAGAAUACGCAUCAGUCCUUAAGAUUAGCACAGAAGAAAACGUCCACAGUCCAACCAAAGAAUGCCAUGGCUAAUCACCAUGACACUAAACCUUUUCCUCAAUGUUUGCUAGAUGAUUCCAUCUCUCAUAAGCCACCCUCUCAUUCUCCAUUGCCAGACAUGUAGAGUCUUGCAUUGUAUGCUCUUGCAACUCGCAAAGUCUGCUAUAUGCUUCCUUUGUUCUCUUUGUUAUAUAACUAAGUUCAAAGAUAAGGUUCAAGUGCCUUUAGAAUGAAGAAGAUGUUGUGUUCUUUCCUAAAUUGCUCUGACUUGAUAUAAAUAACCCGGAUAAUGGACUAUAACGUUUGUAAAUUUGAAAGAUCUCUUCUUCCAGUGCUCCUCUUUCAAUAGUAUUGUACACCUUAGGUGAUCUGAACAACCUCUGGCUUCAAAAAAAAAAGUAUGCUUGAGCUUGACUAGUGAUCCAUUUACUGUUUACUAAAACUCUGUCUAGCUUCUUGCUUAUCAACCCUGUUGUCCUCUUAUUAAACCAAUAUAUUUUGGACCAUGAUAGCUGAGAUCUGAUAGUUCACAAUAUCCGACUGCUUCUUGGAAGUCUCUCAUACCCACUGGUAUUAUUGGAGAAUCCUUAUACAAUGAAUGUUCCUCAUCCUAUAAAAUUUCAUUAAUCACCACAAAUGAUCCAAGACUUCCCUCUAAACAUACCUGAAUUGUGGUGGUUUCUCAGGUCUUUCCACAGUUCUUUUAUUUCCUCCACCGAGUUUAGAGUAUAAACAAAAGAUACCAGUAAUUCCUCUUCCUUUCCUUCCAUCAGUAUUGAGCAUGAAACCAACUGCGAUUAUUUGAAGAUAGGCGUGACUCGUACAUUCUGUCUUAAAGAAGCAAUAACCACGAAGGAUUAUAGACCAAUCUCCUGCUUAAUGUAAUCUAUAAAAUCAUCACAAAGAUCUUGGCUAAUCAUCUCAAGAUUAUCCUUCCAAAUUUUAUAACACCAAACCAAUCGGCUUUUUUCAAAAACAGAUUGCUGAUGGGGAAUGCGCUGCUAGCCACAGAAAUAGUCAAAAAUUACCAUAAAGGAAAAACAACAGCAAGAUGUUCAAUGAAGAUUGCUAUUUCAAUAGAAUUUGACUCAGUGCAAUGGGAGUUUUUGCUCAAUACCAUGAAGGUUAUGGACAUCCUAGAUAAGUAUAUAUAUUCAUUGGAUCCGUCUAUGUAUAUCUUCUGCAUCAUUUUCAGUUCAGGUUAAUGGGGAAUUGACAGGCUACUUUAGUAGCAAUCAGGGACUAAGAAAAAGCUGUUCAUUGUCUCCAUACUUAUUUGUGAUCUGUAGGAACAUCCUAUCAAAGAGAUUGGGCAAAGCAGCUGCAGAAAACAGAAUUGGAUACCAUCCUGAUAACACCUGAUUUUGACCACUUUUAUGGAUCACUUUCAAUGUCUUAUGUAGGAUUUUUCACUCAGUUUUAAAGGUUUUAAGUGAUUUCCAUGUUUUAAAGUCUCAAAAGAGUUUUUAGGAUAUUUUGCAAAAGGAGUGCACUUGGAAACAAAAAGCACAACUUUGGAUAAUUCAGACCGUAGCAAAUGGAGGCCUUCUCACCAUCUGAUCAUCUCCAAAUUUGGACAAGAUAGAGGAUACAACCAGCUUUCCAAUGCAAGUGGAAUCAAAGAAAUCCAACGGUUAGAUCUCCAGAUAUGGUUAAUGCACUGAAGGCAAAUCAACACAGUCGGAAGCUGACCCGUGGCCAAAACAUCAUCCGCCGUGGGUGCAACAUUAUAGACCACGAGGAGCCUAUUUUCUAGCCUCAGAAGCCCAUUUUGAAGUCCAAGUCAUUUUCGUCAUUAUUCCUGCAAGCACUAGGCGUUUCCGAGGACUCAAGACACUAUAUAAACCUCAUUUAAGUCAUUUGGAAGAGUGUGCCACAUUUUUCCAGGAACCCUAGAGAAAGAGACUCACCGUGAAGAGGAGCCACCGAGAGGGGCACCAUCGGCCCUCCUGCUUCACUCUGUUCUUCGUUUCUAAUCUUUGUCUGUUUCAAUUUUCUGUAAUUCUAAAUACUUUUGUGAUGUUAAAUUCAACUAUGUCUGAGUAGCUUUCCAGCUGGGUUUUUAAGGGAUUUUUCAAAGGGAAUUUCAUGUCCUGAUCUUAUGCUUUGUUAGAUUUAGGGUUCAUAAUCUUCUAAGAGUCUUUUGUUCAUUCUUUUUCUCUAUGCUGUUUCUGUUGCUAGCCGCUUAUAAACUGAUCUCAGUAAUUGGAGCCACGAGAGUGUUGUAUCGAAUUACCAGACCUAGAACUGAUUUAGCAAAGUCGCUAUAGGAGACGAAAGCUACCUAUAGAGAAUCGCGAGCGUGGACGAAUUCUGUUUUUAAUGCAUGAUCUUAUUCGAAGCAUGAGAGCGAGAGUUAAUUGCCGAGUUGAGUGAUUUGUUGAUUAGGGUAGCGAGAGUUGGCUAAUCAUGCACACGCCUAUUCGAGUUCGGGAUCCUCACUAGAUGAUUACCUUUAUCGAUUUGUUUGUCUUUCAGUUCACGAACCCCUGCGAAACCCCUUUAGACCCAGCAUUUAGUCCUUAUUGUUUUACAACCAUUUUAAUUUAAUUUGCAUUUAGAUUUAGUGACAUCAAAACCAAAACCCCCAUCUUGCUUAUUCUACUAGACUUAAGUUUUGAUUGAUUCGUACUGAAAGCUCAAAAUCUCUGUGGUACGAUCCCUAAGUACUACAACGCACAUUUGUGCACAUGCAGCUAUUUAGGGUUAUAAAUUUAAAAUGUGAAGCUAGAAGUAACCCUUGAUUAUUUCAGCAUCAAGUUUUUGGCGCCAAGCUAAAAGAGCUAAUCGAGCAGUUAAAUGUGAGCUUUCCUUUGAUUGAAGCUUGUGCAAUGAUACCUGCUCUUAGGAAAUACAUGAAGGGCAUUCUAACAAUUUUUUUAGCAUUAGAAGAAGGCGUUAUGAUGAUAACUCAUGAAUGUAUUUCCAUCUUACAAAACCAUGUCCCCCAAAAGAAAGAAGAUCCGGGAAGUUUUGUACUAUCUUUCACAAUCAGGAAUAUGACUUUCGAUCAUUCUCUCUAUGAUUUGGGAUCGAGAAUCAACAUGAUGCCACUCUCAGUCGCAAAACGCUUGGGAUAUCAUACUUUCCAGCCCACAAAAAUCUUACUAAUUCUUGUCAAUCGAUCAGUUAGACAGCCGGAAGGAGUCCUGGUUGAUGUAUCAGUCAUGAUAGGAGAGAAUUGUAUUCUGACUGAUUUCGUAGUGCUUGAAUUUGGAAGGGAACCACAGGAUCCUCUAAUACUCGGUAGACCAUUUUUAUCAACUGCCGGGGCAAUAAUAAAUGUUCCGAAAGGAAAGAUAGAUCUCCAUCUAGGGAGCUUGUUUAUGCAGUUUGAUAUCAACAAAAGUCUUGGGAAACCCACUUUAGAUGGCAGACUUUGCUGGAUUGAUGAGCUUGAUGAGAUCAAUGAGGAAGUUUAUGAAGAACUCCUUCUUGACGAUCUUUAAAAAUCAUCCUCACCACCACAAGUGAUGAUCGCAACCUGCUCGAAGAAGUUUCGAAAGGAUGUGUGCAAAUACUUGAUAAAGCCAAAGAUUACGCGAAACUUAUGAACUACCUCGACCUGAAUGAGGAAACUCACAAGCUACCCCUCGAAAAGAUACCUUGGCAUCUGUAAACGACCCAUGAGCGAACUAAAAGCCCCAAAAGUCAAGCUUAAACCUCUUCCUGAAGGACUCAAGUAAGUUUUUCUUGGACCAAAUUCCACUUACCCUAUCAUCAUAAAUUCCUGUCUAAGUAGAGCUGAAACUGCUAUGCUGUUAAAUGAGUUGAGGAAGCAUAGGAAAACCAUAGGGCUAUUCUCUUGAUGACAUACCAGGUAUUUCUCCAGAUCUUGUAUGCACAAGAUAAAUCUUGAGGAGAAUGCCAAGAAUUCGAUUGAAAGCCAAAAGAGAUUAAACCCAAACCUGAUGGAAGUAUUAAAGAAGGAAAUCGAAACUUUUGAAAGCAGGAAUCAUAUUCCCUAUCUCGGACAGCACUCGGGUUAGUCUUGUGCAUGUUCUCCCAAAGAAGGGAGGAGUAACUGUUGUCAAAAAUGACAAGGAUGAAAUGAUCGCUGAUAACUAAAAGUUUUGAGGCUCUUAGAAGGGUUAUCAAUCCCCUUGUCAAAGUAGUAUAAGGGGUGUCAAUCCAUAUGUGUGGUAGUUAGGCACUAGUUUAUAAGAUAAGUUCUUAAGUCAAGUUAAUCAAAGACAGGUUUUUGGUAACAAGUAACAAGUGAAAAUAUAAACAAGAAACAAACAAGCAAUGAUAAGGAAGUAAACAAAGCAAGCUAAACAAGAUGAUGGUGAUUAAGCAAAUGAUAAAAGCUAAACCUCUAGAUGUGAUCAUUGAUUAGGGUGCUCUAGAUAUCAAUUCAUGAUGCUAAGAACAAAAUGCAAUGCUUGUUACUCUUUAGUCUAGACUUCAAAAGCAGAUUAAUUCAUUCCCAUGACAAUAAUCUCUUUGCAAACCACUUAAUCAAGAUUAAUUCACCUUAAGCAAGAUCAAGCAAUCAACAAGCAUAAAGUAUCAAGUCUAAAAAUGACCAAACGGUUUCUAUUUCAAAGAGACCGAAUCUUACACAGAAAGCAGCAACAAGCAAUCACAUGAUCUCAAAACCAAUUAACUUAGAACUCAAAUCUAGACUGAUCCUCUCAUGAAGGCAUUAAUCUCUACACUAAUCCACUUUCAAACCAAAUCAUCAUUUGUGAAAUAUGAAUCAGUGAGCAUUAAGAAACAGUUCUAAUAUGUCAUUCAUGCAUUUAACAAAUCAUUCCCAUGAUGAAAAAGGCAUAAACCCUUAGCUUAGUUCAUUCAGACAUUUCAUCAAACACCUUGUGGGUGGAGAAAUGACUAAGGUCUAGAUCAGAGUGAUGUGCAAAGAUCUAGCAUUAAGAGCAGCUAACUAAGGAAAGGAGAUGAGAAUCUAGAACCUAAACAUCAUAAACUGAUCAUCUAAGCACCCUAAUCUAUACACCUAGAAGCUUAAAAGAUGACUACUCACUAAUCAUGAUUAACACACCAUUUCCUUUGCAAGAGGUGGUGUUAAUCAUGAUUAGAAGCAGAGAUGAGAUGAUGAGAUGAUAAGAAACAGCUUUGGAAUGAUCAAAUCCCUUAGAUAUCUCUUAAUCAAACUCGUUUUUACACUAAGAAGCAGAGAGAAAAACAAAAAGAAAGCAGACUAGAGGAUAAGAUAAAGCAUAAGAUAAAGCAUAACUAGGGUUUUAGUCUCUUAAAACUAUUUAUGUAAAAGAGUGUGGGCCGGGUCAGCCCAGGACAAACUGGGUACUGACCCGCCCUUUCUGGGUUUCUGGAGCCACCCCUCGCCAUCUGAAGAAGUCUCACACCGAGGGCCACACACCAGGGGAUCAUGUGCUGGGUUGAGACUUUGAUGAACACUUGAAGAACAUGCAUGAGACUUGGCCUUAGAUCCGGUUAAAGCUUUGAAACGUGAAGAGGAUUUCUUUGUGAUCUGGGUUGGAGAGAUGAGGACCUCGGCAUAACAUGCCGAGGGGCUUGGUACCCGAGGUUUGUGUAACAUGGGAGUUCGGCAUAACAUGCUGAAGGGUUCACACCAAGGUCUGCUUCAACACUUAGUCGUUUUGGGAUCAUUUUGGUGAUCAAGGGAGCCUUGGUGUUGAAAGAUCGAAGUCCUACCUCGAGGUAUAGUCUCAAAGCUUCGUAAACAUGCCUCCUCGGCAUACAUGCCGAGGUAUUCACGCCGAGGUAGGACACAACACUUAGCUUACAGUCGCAUCUCUUAAAACCCGAAUUGACCAGCUUCUCUUCAGUUCAGUGUAACUUUCAGCUCAUAACUCCAAAUGACCUAAUACCAGUUCCAUGAGAAAGAUAACUCAUUCAUCGCAAUCUUUGGUGAAGAAACUAUCGGCCCUUGGGAAGUGGAAAGCUUCCUGGAGAGCUCAUCUUCGCAGUGCAUUUACACGAUCAGAGAGAGGCGUCUAGACAUGUGUUCAUUCCGGAAACGUUAACUUCUUUCUCAUAGAUCCGAAUUGAAUGAUCUUGGACUUUCUGGAAAGAGGACUCAAAUAUCUCUGAUUCUCAUGAAGGCCUCGUAAACCGAAUCGGCCUGGAAGUGCGCCGUCUUUCGCAUUCUUCGGAGCUCAUCGGGUCGGUCCAAGACGGCAGCGAGACAGGGGUUUCUUCCGACGAGCUCAACUUUCUGCUCACGCGUCCGAAUUCCAUUAUUCCACUUGCUAUGGAACCAUGAUCCAAUCAUCUCCAAUUUUGAUGAAGCUCUCGACAGCUGAAUCGGACCGGAAGGUUCCCCGGACAGGCGAUUAUUCAGGAGUGUCGGAUUGCUCCGGAAUGGAUGCGAGAGAGGUCUGUCUUCCGAAUACCAUAUCAUUCAGAUCGGUGGUCCAAAUGCUUUGAUUCUAACUGUUCUGAACUCUGGACUCAAUUAUCUCCAACCGUUAUGAAGACUCCGACAGCUGAAUCGGACGGCAAGACCUUCCGGUAACGUGAUUUCCGAGAUGUAUCUGCACUCGAGAUUUUUGGCCGAGAAACUUAACCGCGGCACGUGUUUUUGGCCGAGAGUUCUACCCGCGGGAAGGAUUUUGGCCGAGAACCUUCGACCUUCAAUACACCAUUUUGCCGAGAAACCCAAAAUUGCUCCUUUUCACCAUUUUUGAUCAUUCCAUCUCCAUUUCUUCAUCUGAAUCACAUUCUCCACUCCAAAUUGGCUCCAAAAGCACCUGUUUAACACUCCAAACCAUGCAAAACUCUCUUGGACCUAAUGCAUUCUUCUAAGUCUUAAAACAAUGCCUAAAAACCUAAAAUGCAUGCAGAUGAAACAUGAUUUGGACUAAAAUAUGUACACUAAAUGAUGCAAUUUAUGAAUAUAUCAACUCCCCCACACUUAUUCUUUGCUUGUCCUCAAGCAAAAAGAACAAAUGAGAGAGAGAGGUUGAAUGCAUUGGGAGUUCAUAUUUCCUUUUAGAGAGAAGUGAUCACAAUGAGAAUUCAAGUUCAUGCUCAAUUAUGCAAUGCAAAGCCAUACUCAGAUAUAUAUCAACUCAACAAGGAAUCUCCACAAGUUCUCCUCUCUAUCAACUCUUUCACAUUCAUUAAGCUUUUAUCAAGUGAAUCAAAUGAUGAAAUGUUUAAACAAGCUGGCUUGGCUAGGGAGAGGCUAUGAGAUUAAAAUGAUCUCAUCAGUGUUCAAGCGGAUUUAAUGCAGCAAAAGGAUCUCUCUAUGAAUGAUCAAACUUUGGCAGAAUGCUAAAGGUAAAAAGCAACCUAUGCAUACAAGGGCAAAGACUCAUGACACCCCACACUCUACUCAAAGCUUUCUCACUUUCUCACUCUCUCAAGAACCUCACUUUCCACACUCAUUUUCCUCUUCACUAGGGGACUUACUUUUCAUUUUCACUCUCAAGUCUUGGAGUUCAAACUUUACACAGCUCUUUUUCUUUUGAAACCUCUAGCCUCUUUUUCUUUCUUUUCAAAACAUUUGAGCUCUUUGACUUCUUUUCUUUUCCUUUUACUUAGAGGCUAGACUCUUUCUUUUCAAGACACCAGAGCUCACUUUCUUUAACUCAAAACUCCAAGACCGAUUUCCUUUUCUUUCAUUCCCCUAGCUAUUUCCACUCUCUCUUUUCCACUCAUCUCACCUUAUUCCACUCACCAACAAGUCUUUUUCCCCCACACUUAUUCCUCGCCAACACUCUCAGUUCCUUGAUGUUGGAACACAGCACUCAAUGAGACCUGCCCUUGUCGCUCUAAACCUAACACUUUCUGCUAAGUUUGAUCUAAGGUGGCCUUUCAAUUCACACACAAACAAUUGGCUUGAAAGAAGGAUGGGUUCAAGGUGAGGGAACUGAUCCAUGAUGUGGAUUCAGCUACUUGAGCUAAGGAAAAAGGGCGGUAAAAACAAUGGUUCUAGCUCAAGUAUGUAUGUCGGUAUCCACAAGCUUAUUCAAACAAUGCAUCACAAGAUAUUUUCAAGUCAAGUUCAAGGUUCUCACUUAAUUAGAGUUGAGUUCAAUUCAAACUUGCUUCUCAGAUUCAGAUCGUUUCAGACUUUGCAAGCACAGAAAAAGAUUCACAAGCAUAUUCAGUUCAAGUUCUCAAAGUGAUGCACUCUCUAGAAAACCUAUCAUUACUCCCUGCAAGAUGCAACCUAUAUGAUGCAACUAGACUCGAUCCUAAAAAUGUGAAUGCAACUAGAAUGAACAUUUUUUGUGAAAAUUUUCUGAUUUUAUAUGCAUUUAGAUGCAACUACAUGAGACUCAAGACUCAAAGUGGAAAAUAAGAUCAAAGAAAACAUGAUUAGUAAACACUAAACUCCUCCCCCACACUUAAAUUACACAGUCCCCUGUGUUAUAAAAGCAUAAGAAAGAAGUGAAAGGCAAAAGCAAGAAAGAUGCAAAAUGAAAAAUAAAGAACUAUAUGUAUAUGUACAAAGAGUUUGGAGAGUUACCAGAAUUGUUCAUGAUGGAAUGGAGGCAUUGUACAUGGAGGAGAAUGCUGGUGCUUUGAACCCUCUGCUUGGACUCAAGUCUCUCAAGCGUCCCUCUUUGUUCAUGCUCGUUCAGGGACCCCUCUGCGUAGCCAUGCCGAGGCUUCUAUACCGAGGUGGACAAGUUUCUGUGUAAGUGGCAAGGGCACCUCGGUAUUAGCUCAAGAACACCUCGGCUUUGGCUCUCCAAGGCUUCUCACAGCACUUGGUUCCGUGAAGAUCAAACAAGAGACCUCGGUAAUGAUCAUCUUGAGGUGCUUGGCCGAGGUCUCAGGUUCACUGCUCCUUUGAAUCAUAAGGCCGCCACCUUUAAGCUCCUCUCUGCACUUGUUCCUUCAAACCAUUAAGCAAGAACACUUUCUAGAACCUGAGAUCACUUAGCAAACCCAUCAAAACAUUCUAAAAACACUAAAGAAAAUAUUAAAAAGACUAUAUACAAGGAUAAGCUUGGGGUGUCUCCCAAGAGCACUUUGUUUAAAGUCACUAAGUUUGACUUUGUAAAACCUUUCUUAGGUUGGGUGAGAAGGAGCACUAAUGCUCUUGAACAUGUCAAUUAUCUGAAGCAUGAAAGCUGAGCUCUGCUCCCUUUGAGAACCAUCAGACCCAUUUCCCUUGAACUCAAGCUUGAGACCUUUUUGCAUCAGCUCUUGAAUACCAUCAGAAUCCUUGUCAAUGAGUGUCUUUGUGAGACCGGUUCUGAGCUCUGCAAAUAACUCUGAUUUCCCAUUGCAAUCCAACUUGUACUUUACAGCUCCGUCCUCACAUGUCCAAGGGGUGAGAGUAAAGUCUUGUGAGGAAAAUUCAGGUUCAAGGUUCUUUUCUUUUGAAUCAGAUCUUUCACCUUUGCUGUUGAGCAUCUCUAGCUCACUAAGUGUAGGAGACCAUGUGAGGAAGAUGUCUUCUAAUCUGAUCAAAGGCUCUGUAUUCUCAUCCUUAUGACCAUAGUUGAUGUGGGCUUGUUCUCCUUUCUCCACAGCUUAAAGGGAUUUAGAUUCUCCUAAAACUUCAACACUUCCCACAUAAUGCAUCUCAAGCACCUUGGGCUCUUCUAUCUCUUGAGCAGCUGAUCCACAAAAUUCGGCUAAGGGAGGCUUGACAGGGUAAGAAACGUCCUUAUCCACCUUUGUAAGCACCACUCUUUGAGUAUCAAAGUCAAUCCUUGCACCAGUUGUGUUAAGGAAUGAAGUUCCAAGCAAAAGUGGAAGUUCCUUUGUCUUUUUCAUCUUCAUGACUAUGAAAUCAGUUGGAACUAUGCACUCACCAACCUUCAAAGGAUAGUUCUCUAUCAGCCCAUGAGGUUUCUUUGAGUAAGCGCCAAAAGUGAUGGAAGAAGGAUAUUCCUUUAAGUUCUUGAUCCCAAGUCUCUCCAUCAUGCUAAGAGACAUCACAUUUACACUUGAGCCUGAAUCACACAAGGCAUUCUCAACUCUGAACUUCCCAAGAGUGCAAGAGAUUGUAAAUUUCCCUGGAUUACCCAGCUUUGGGAGUGAUGUAGGCUUCACACUUGGUGAAUCUAGGCUGGAGACAUCAUCCCGUGGCUGUACUUGAGCAACCGGCUGGUCCCUUGCUUCAGCAUCCCCUGAAUUGUUCCAUUUCUCAACAAAAUCUUUCCAAUGCUGCAAAUAACAAACUGAACAGGGCGCCCCUCCACCUUCUUUUGUAAUGUCCUCAUUGAGAUCAGGUAACAAGCUCAUAAAGUCCUCUAUAAUGGAGUCGUCUUCCUCUUUAUUAGGACUGGACCCAUCAGAGACUUGACCAUAAAGAAGGUAUUCAAUCUCUUGAACAGCAGCUGAAUGAUCAUCGCUUGAGUAGAUGGCAUUGCAAUAAUCUUUGGGGUAUUGAACAGCUUUACCAGCAAGAGAGACUUGAGUUUCUGAAGUGCAGAUGCCCUUGUUCUUUCUAAGAAUCUUAAGUUCAGAGUCUAAUGUCUCCAUCUUAGAAUUCAGGUCAAGACACUUGGAAUCAAGCUUUUGUUGUCCUUGUAAGAUCUGUUGGAGAACAAUGCCAAUAUCAGGACCUUGCUGUGGCAUAGAACCCUGCUGAAACUGUCGCUGACCGAAUCCAAGAGGUGGAGGCCCUUGUUGCUGAAAGCUGACUUGGUUUGUGAAGCUGUUCCCUUGUGCCUGAACCGGUUGUGGCUGAUAAGAUUGUUGACCUUGGUACUGAUUCUUUUGAACAAAGCCUUGAGGAGGGUACCCUUGAAACUUAUUCUGGUUCCCAAUGAAGUGUAACUCCUCUUGAGCAAUACCAGGUUCAUUGACAUUAGUAAAACAACUCCUCUCUUCAGCUACAUAGUGUAUAGGUUGCUGAGUGACCUUUACCAGCUUUGCAAACUUAACUUUCAACUCCUCUAGGGUAUUUUCCAGCUCUUGUUGUUUACUAGAACCUUCUCCUCUAUAGCACCGGUCAUAGUCUUCCCCAUAAGUGUCUUGGCUCAUGGCUAGGUUCUCAACAAGUUCCAUAGCUGCAGUGAUUUCUUUUGCCAAGAAAUUCCCAUUUGAUGCUGUGUCCAGCUGAGUUCUGAUCUUGGGAACUACUCCUCUAUACAAAGUGCUAAGGAGAGAGGCUUCUGAAAAGCCAUGAUGUGGGCACUGAGUUGUAUAGCUCCUAAACCUGUCCCAAGCUUCUCCAAAGGUCUCAUUAGAAUGCUGAGUGAAGCUUGAAAUCUUGGUCCUUAGCCUGGCGGUUCUAGCAGUGGAGAAGAACUUAGAUAAGAAUGCUAACUUGCAUUGUUCCCAAGUUUGUAUUGAACCGCUAGGUAGGUUCUUCUCCCAUUGGUGUGCCUUGUCUCCUAAACUGAAUGGGAACAACCUGAGCUUGAAACUGUCUUCAGAGACACCACUGAUCUUUGUGAGAUCACAAACUCUAUCAAAGUGAUCCAAAUGCUCCAAAGGAUCCUCAUUUGGCAGCCCAUAGAACUUAGAGUUCUGCACCAUGUUGAGCAUAGAGGCUUUCACUUCAAAAUUUGUGUUCAGAACUGGAGGAGCUUGAAUGCCAGCUCUGUAUUGGUGUGUAUUGGCUCGGUCAUUGUCUCCUACAUAGACCAGUGGAGGCUCUUGACGCCAGGGUGGGUUUGGGAAGGGUUGCGGUUGAUUAACCUGAGGCCGGUCUUGGUUUUGAUUACCAUGAGCUGGUCCCUGAUAGACCUAACCGUGUGGAACCUGAUUUUUGUUCCCAUUAGUUCCAAUACCAGCUCCUUGACCGUGAGCAGCUUCUUGAGCCUGGUGCUCAAUCCCAACUUGCUGAUCGAUUCCCAAUCUCUCCAAAUGAGCAGCUCUUUCUCUUUGUCUUCUAAGAUGACCUCUUGUGAUCAUACACCUGAAAACAAAGACAGAACUUGAAAGGGAAUCAGUAAAACAAACUAAACUUGAUCUCAAAAACUAUAUCAGAAACUAAUGCUAACUAGCCCCACACAAUAUGGCAACGGCGCCAAUUGAUAACUAAAAGUUUUGAGGCUCUUAGAAGGGUUAUCAAUCCCCUUGUCAAAGUAGUAUAAGGGGUGUCAAUCCAUAUGUGUGGUAGUUAGGCACUAGUUUAUAAGAUAAGUUCUUAAGUCAAGUUAAUCAAAGACAGGUUUUUGGUAACAAGUAACAAGUGAAAAUAUAAACAAGAAACAAACAAGCAAUGAUAAGGAAGUAAACAAAGCAAGCUAAACAAGAUGAUGGUGAUUAAGCAAAUGAUAAAAGCUAAACCUCUAGAUGUGAUCAUUGAUUAGGGUGCUUUAGAUAUCAAUUCAUGAUGCUAAGAACAAAAUGCAAUGCUUGUUACUCUUUAGUCUAGACUUCAAAAGCAGAUUAAUUCAUUCCCAUGACAAUAAUCUCUUUGCAAACCACUUAAUCAAGAUUAAUUCACCUUAAGCAAGAUCAAGCAAUCAACAAGCAUAAAGUAUCAAGUCUAAAAAUGACCAAACGGUUUCUAUUUCAAAGAGACCGAAUCUUACACAGAAAGCAGCAACAAGCAAUCACAUGAUCUCAAAACCAAUUAACUUAGAACUCAAAUCUAGACUGAUCCUCUCAUGAAGGCAUUAAUCUCUACACUAAUCCACUUUCAAACCAAAUCAUCAUUUGUGAAAUAUGAAUCAGUGAGCAUUAAGAAACAGUUCUAAUAUGUCAUUCAUGCAUUUAACAAAUCAUUCCCAUGAUGAAAAAGGCAUAAACCCUUAGCUUAGUUCAUUCAGACAUUUCAUCAAACACCUUGUGGGUGGAGAAAUGACUAAGGUCUAGAUCAGAGUGAUGUGCAAAGAUCUAGCAUUAAGAGCAGCUAACUAAGGAAAGGAGAUGAGAAUCUAGAACCUAAACAUCAUAAACUGAUCAUCUAAGCACCCUAAUCUAUACACCUAGAAGCUUAAAAGAUGACUACUCACUAAUCAUGAUUAACACACCAUUUCCUUUGCAAGAGGUGGUGUUAAUCAUGAUUAGAAGCAGAGAUGAGAUGAUGAGAUGAUAAGAAACAGCUUUGGAAUGAUCAAAUCCCUUAGAUAUCUCUUAAUCAAACUCGUUUUUACACUAAGAAGCAGAGAGAAAAACAAAAAGAAAGCAGACUAGAGGAUAAGAUAAAGCAUAAGAUAAAGCAUAACUAGGGUUUUAGUCUCUUAAAACUAUUUAUGUAAAAGGGUGUGGGCCGGGUCAGCCCAGGACAAACUGGGUACUGACCCGCCCUUUCUGGGUUGCUGGAGCCACCCCUCGCCAUCUGAAGAAGUCUCACACCGAGGGCCACACACCAGGGGAUCAUGUGCUGGGUUGAGACUUUGAUGAACACUUGAAGAACAUGCAUGAGACUUGGCCUUAGAUCCGGUUAAAGCUUUGAAACGUGAAGAGGAUUUCUUUGUGAUCUGGGUUGGAGAGAUGAGGACCUCGGCAUAACAUGCCGAGGGGCUUGGUACCCGAGGUUUGUGUAACAUGGGAGCUCGGCAUAACAUGCUGAAGGGUUCACACCAAGAUCUGCUUCAACACUUAGUCGUUUUGGGAUCAUUUUGGUGAUCAAGGGAGCCUUGGUGUUGAAAGAUCGAAGUCCUACCUCGAGGUAUAGUCUCAAAGCUUCGUAAACAUGCCUCCUCGGCAUACAUGCCGAGGUAUUCACGCCGAGGUAGGACACAACACUUAGCUUACAGUCGCAUCUCUUAAAACCCGAAUUGACCAGCUUCUCUUCUGUUCAGUGUAACUUUCAGCUCAUAACUCCAAAUGACCUAACACCAGUUCCAUGAGAAAGAUAACUCAUUCAGCUCAAUCUUUGGUGAAGAAACUAUCGGCGCUUGGGAAGUGGAAGGCUUCCUGGAGGGCUCAUCUUCGCAGUGCAUUUACACGAUCAGAGAGAGGCGUCUAGACAUGUGUUCAUUCCGGAAACGUUAACUUCUUUCUCAUAGAUCCAAAUUGAAUGAUCUUGGACUUUCUGGAAAGAGGACUCAAAUAUCUCUGAUUCUCAUGAAGGCCUCGUAAACCGAAUCGGCCUGGAAGUGCGCCGUCUUUCGCAUUCUUCGGAGCUCAUCGGGUCGGUCCAAGACGGCAGCGAGACAGGGGUUUCUUCCGACGAGCUCAACUUUCUGCUCACGCGUCCGAAUUCCAUUAUUCCACUUGCUAUGGAACCAUGAUCCAAUCAUCUCCAAUUUUGAUGAAGCUCUCGAUAACUGAAUCGGACCGGAAGGUUCCCCGGAGAGGCGAUUAUUCAGGAGUGUCGGAUUGCUCCGGAAUGGAUGCGAGAGAGGUCUGUCUUCCGAAUACCAUAUCUUUCAGAUCGGUGGUCCAAAUGCUUUGAUUCUAACUGUUCUGAACUCUGGACUCAAUUUUCUCCAACCGUUAUGAAGACUCGGACAGCUUAAUCGGACGGCAAGACCUUCCGGUAACGUGAUUUCCGAGAUGUAUCUGCACUCGAGAUUUUUGGCCGAGAAACUUAACCGCGACACGUGUUUUUGGCCGAGAGUUCUACCCGCGGGAAGGAUUUUGGCCGAGAACCUUCGACCUUCAGUACACCAUUUUGCCGAGAAACCCAAAAUUGCUCCUUUUUCACCAUUUUUGAUCAUUCCAUCUCCAUUUCUUCAUCUGAAUCACAUCCUCCACUCCAAAUUGGCUCCAAAAGCACCUGUUUAACACUCCAAACCAUGCAAAACUCUCUUGGACCUAAUGCAUUCUUCUAAGUCCUAAAACAAUGCCUAAAAACCUAAAAUGCAUGCAGAUGAAACAUGAUUUGGACUAAAAUAUGUACACUAAAUGAUGCAAUUUAUGAAUAUAUCAACUCCCCCACACUUAUCCUUUGCUUGUCCUCAAGCAAAAAGAACAAAUGAGAGAGAGAGGUUGAAUGCAUUGGGAGUUCAUAUUUCCUUUUAGAGAGAAGUGAUCACAAUGAGAAUUCAAGUUCAUGCUCAAUUAUGCAAUGCAAAGCCAUACUCAGAUAUAUAUCAACUCAACAAGGAAUCUCCACAAGUUCUCCUCUCUCUCAACUCUUUCACAUUCAUUAAGCUUUUAUCAAGUGAAUCAAAUGAUGAAAUGUUUAAACAAGCUGGCUUGGCUAGGGAGAGGCUAUGAGAUUAAAAUGAUCUCAUCAGUGUUCAAGCGGGUUUAAUGCAGCAAAAGGAUCUCUCUAUGAAUGAUCAAACUUUGGCAGAAUGCUAAAGGUAAAAAGCAACCUAUGCAUACAAGGGCAAAGACUCAUCACACCCCACACUCUACUCAAAGCUUUCUCACUUUCUCACUCUCUCAAGAACCUCACUUUCCACACUCAUUUUCCUCUUCACUAGGGGACUUACUUUUCAUUUUCACUCUCAAGUCUUGGAGUUCAAACUUUACACAGCUCUUUUUCUUUUGAAACCUCUAGCCUCUUUUUCUUUCUUUUCAAAACAUUUGAGCUCUUUGACUUCUUUUCUUUUCCUUUUACUUAGAGGCUAGACUCUUUCUUUUCAAGACACCAGAGCUCACUUUCUUUAACUCAAAACUCCAAGACCGAUUUCCUUUUCUUUCAUUCCCCUAGCUAUUUCCACUUUCUCUUUUCCACUCAUCUCACCUUUUUCCACUCACCAACAAGUCUUUUUCCCCCACACUUAUUCCUCGCCAACACUCUCAGUUCCUUGAUGUUGGAACACAGCACUCAAUGAGACCUGCCCUUGUUGCUCUAAACCUAACACUUUCUGCUAAGUUUGAUCUAAGGUGGCCUUUCAAUUCACACACAAAAAAUUGGCUUGAAAGAAGGAUGGGUUCAAGGUGAGGGAACUGAUCCAUGAUGUGGAUUCAGCUACUUGAGCUAAGGAAAAAGGGCGGUAAAACCAAUGGUUCUAGCUCAAGUAUGUAUGUCGGUAUCCACAAGCUUAUUCAAACAAUGCAUCACAAGAUAUUUUCAAGUCAAGUUCAAGGUUCUCACUUAAUUAGAGUUGAGUUCAAUUCAUGGUCUGAGAAGGGAUUGUACUUGGACACAAAAUAUCUGGGAAGGAUAUUGAAGUUGAUAAAGCGAAAUUUGAAGUCAUGACUAGCCUGCAACCUCCAAUUAAUGUUAAAUGCAUCCAAAGUUUCUUGGGACAUGCCGGAUUUUAUAGGCGAUUCAUAAAAGGCUUCUCUGAAAUUGCUAGACCUCUUACACGUUUGAUAUGCAAAGAAACAAACUUCGAGUUCGAUGAUGAAUGCUUAGCAGCGUUCCAUAAGAUCAAAAAUGCUCUUGUUUCUGCUCCAGUUGUGCAGCCACCCGAUUGGGAACAUCCAUUCGAAAUCAUGUGUGAUGCAAGUUAUUUUGCUGUCGGAGCUGUGCUCGGUCAGCGGAAAGAAAAGAAACUACAUGCAAUCUUGGAUGAAUCUUAAUGUAAUUAUGCGACUACGGAGAAGGAGCUUUUAGCUGUCAUUUUUGCAUUUGAAAAGUUUCAAUCUUAUCUCGUCGGGUCUAAGGUCAUCGUUCAUACCGACCAUGCUGCAAUCAAGUAUCUCAUGUCUAAGAAAGAUGCCAAACCAAGGCUGAUCAGAUGGAUACUCCUGCUGCAAGAGUUUGAUAUUGAAAUUCGAGAUCGGAAAGGAGCAGAUAAUGGAGUAGCAGAUCAUCUUCUAGAAUUCGAGGGGAAGAGAAACUUUCUUUGAAUGAUAGUUUGCCAGAAGAAAAUGUCUACGCUAUGGAUACUAUACCUAUUACCGUGCAAGAAAAGCUAUCCCAACCUCCUAUACGACGGUCAGAUGCUUUUGACACCCCAUGGUUUAGGCACAUAGCGAACUAUUUAGUUGCAGACAUUAAACCUCUACAAUUUUUCGGCUAUAGAAAGAAGAAAUUUUUGAGGGAAGUUCGGCACUAUUUCUGGGAUGAACCUUUUUCUCUAUUAGAGAUGUGUAGAUGGUUUAUUCAGAAGAUGUGUUGCCGAAGAAGAAAUAGAAGGAAUACUGUUUGGAUGCUAUGGUUCAGCAUAUACAUGACUUUUUGAAACCUAUAAAACAGUUUCCAAGAUCCUUAAGCAGGUAUUUGGUGGCCUACUAUGUUCAAAGACACUCAAGCCUACAUCCCACGUUGUGAUUCAUGCCAACGAAUGGGCAAUAUCAGUAAGAGGAAUGAGAUGCCUCAGAACUAUAUUCUCGAAGUCGAAAUCUUUGAUGUAUGGGGAACUGAUUUCAUGGGAUCUUUCCCAACUUCUUUUGGAAACCAAUAUAUCUUAGUAGCGGUAGACUAUGUGAUGCGGUGGUGUGCUGAGUGUCAACUACGUGAGGGAACAAGUUUUACCCUUAACAAAACAAAAGAAAGCCGCAAGUGCACAGCUAAUCAGUUGCAGUAUUUAGGGAUCGAAUCCACAGAGAUUUGUGUGCCUGGUAUUCUUCUACGGUUUUUAACUUUAUGUCUAGACUAAAUUGGUUUUAAAGGUUGGUUGUUUUUCUUGAAUUAAACUAAAGCAAAAUAAAGCAAAUAAAUCUAUCCUAAAAGGCAAGUAAAGAAAUCGAAUGAAAGGCAGUAGAACAAGUAAAAUAUCGAACUAAACAAAGAUAAGGCAAGUAAAAUAUCGCAUGAAAGGUAAAUAAAGCAAGUAAAUAACGAACUAAGGAAAUUGAAAUGCAGGUCUAAGAAAAGCAAGUAAAAAUCGAUGAAAUUGUAAACUAUUGAUAAAAACGCUGAGCUUUUGGGAACUCUAAGGGAUCAUAAUCGGUUUUAACAAUAAGGUAGAUAGAUUGGGAUUGACGGAUAACAAUAUAUGGGUUCUAGAGCUAGAGUACGGCGGUAUGACUACGUCACUGUUGAUCAUAACCAACUGUUUCUCGCAACCCUGACCAGUAGGUUUCCACUCUGGCCCUGGAAGGGAGAGAACGCAAGAGCUGCAUAAGACUCGUCAAUACUCACGAUCUCGCCGCAGGUAGGUUUCCACUCCUACGGAAAAAUCGCCUGUUUCAUUCUAGGGCUGAUACUUAAUGAAAACUUUCGCAACACUAACUAUCUAGAUCAGAUACUAGGUGAUCAAUCAAGCAUACAUGCAAUAAGAACAAGAAUAAACAGAGAACAGGUCGAAAUCCCAGAUCUAUAAACCUAGAUGUCUUAAUCGAUUAUGAGAGCCCCUUUCGGGAACCCUAAGCCCAACUCGGGAUCUACUCAGACAUGGCUGAGUUCGACAUCAUCAUUGGUUUUAAUAAAAGUAAUGAAAAACAGUAAAGAAAAGAGAUAAAGAAAGCUUCUCUAUUGAAGAACUCGGACUUGAACAAUCUUCUACAAAAAUCUCAUAAAAACGGCUAAAGGAAAAAGGGUUUCUGUAAAGUAUCAAAAGCUCUCCUAAAAACGACCUAAAUGACAUGUAUUUAUAGUCUCAAAUACUCCAUGGUCUCUAGGUUUCCGGAAUUGAGGCUGGGAAUGACUUUGGGCUUCAGAUAAGUGGGCUUUAAGUCGGAGCUUGAAUGCCGUGGUCGGGAGUGCUGUGACCGCGGCAAUUGGCUUGUUUCCCGCGGUCGGGAAGCUUCUGACCGCGGCAAAUAGCUUGUUGGCCGCGGUCGCGUGAGCUGCUGGCCGACUCCGCGUGGCUUCGGGGCUAAUGGAAUAUCUUGAGAUCCAACCGUUGGAAUGUAUCCAAACAAAGUGCAUUUGAAAGCUGGUUGAUUCUUCUAUAAGUUGUCCAAUUUUGAGGGUGAUCAGACGGUGAGAAGGUCUUCGUCUCUCCAUGAGAGUUCUGACGUCUGCAUUUAUCCAAAAGAGUCUUUUGUUCCAUUUUAUGCCUCUUUAUCCCAAAUUACCUGAAAAGUCUUUUAAAAUCCGGAAACAUAGAAAUCCUUUGAAAACCUUUGAAAAUGGAGUAAAAACACCUGUAAAAGAUAUUAAAAUGAUCCAUAAAAAUGGUCAAAAUCCGGUGUUAUCAACUCCCCCAGACUUAGUCUUUUGUUUGUCCUCAAACAAAACAAAGGCUAAAUCUCGGCGAGAGGUUUGAAAACGCAGGAACUAAACAAAAUCUCAGAGACCAAACUUCUAGACCAAUAUCAAUCAGUAUGCAUCAAUCGGGAAUAGCCUAGAAAAUUCUCACUAGCAAUACAGGCAUAACUAGUCCGUUAAUCCAUCAUGCAGAAAUCUAUGCACUAAGAUCUAACUUCCAGUCAACUAGCUCUUAACAUUCAUUAAAAAUCUCGGUGGUUCUCAUCAUAGAAAAUCUAGGCAAGGCAAUCUAGGCUAGGUUUAAAGAAGGAUUAUUUUGGGGGUAUGGCUUAAAGUGUUUAAGGGUUACCUGAAGAUCUGGAGGGUGCAGGACAUUAUGCAAAACCGCAAGAGAGAGUGAAGCUGUUGGUAUCCACAGUUUUCAGUCACUUUUUCUUGACAUAGAUUCAUGGUCUUGUUCCUCAGGUUCUCUCCAAACUCCCCCAGACUUAGAUUUUUGUAAAUCUUUCAAAAAAAUAGCUCCUUAAACGAAUAGUGGUUGCUCAUUGCUCCAUAAAUUUCGACAAUCUAAGACUCAUUAGGCUUUUUGUUUCCCUUUCUCUUUUCACGUUUUUUUUUUUUUUUUUUUUAGAGAAAAGGGAACACCUUUAGAUAUAGUCUUAGAGAGCACGAAUUUACCAGUUAAUAUCUGUCUUGUAAAGCUUUAUUAUGUUUCUGAUACUCUUCCUUCCCAAUUCCAUUCAGUCUCUUUUGUGAGUGACUGAAAACUGCGUCGCUCCUCUUCUCUCCGACGUUUUUGCACAUAUCUGCUGAUAUAAACUAAAGAGAGAAUGCAUGAGGAUUGAAAACAAAGGUUUUGGAUAUAGGGUAAGGUACCAGAUAAAGAUAAACUGGUCAUCUAGGACGACAAAGAGUGGUAAAAGUGAUGGUAAAAGACGUCAUAGAUGUGUAUGUCGAUGCCUGCCUAAAAUCAAUGAUGAGAAAAUUAGAUAUCAAUAUUAAGUCCAGAUAUAGUGAGCUAGUAUAUCCUGUCAGAAAGAAUCUCCAUGAAUAGAAGUCCUCUGGUGGGAGUUCGUAGUGCAAGUACUCUAGCUACCGCCUAGUCUAGUGCUAACCACAAAUGAGCUAUCAUGCAUAGUGUAGAAGUGUGCAGGUCUAAAUCAUCAAACAUUCCUGAAAAAUACUUAAUGUCGAAUAGGUUACAUAUUAAAAUUUAAAAAGUACUUGAAAUUUAAAAGCAAAAGCAGGAAAAUAAUUAGUACGGAUAGACAUCCUCCCCCAGACUUAAAUCACACUGUCCCCAGUGUGAAAAAGUUGGUGAGAAGAUGGUGAAUAAAAGCAAAAUAAGAUAAAAUAAGAUAAAAGAAAAGAAAAUGAUGAUAGAACCGUGAUGGUAGUGAAGUGCUGGUCAAUCACUCAUCCUCUGAAGUGUCGUCUGUGAAUUGGUGCUGCUCCUAUAAGAAGGUGACAACGCGCUCAAAGCGUCGUCCCUGUCUCUCAACUCUGCGCUCCAGAUCGGAAUGAGUGUGUGAUGAUAUAGAUGAUGAGGCGUGGCCGGUCGGAAUGGAUGGCUGAAAAUGAGCACGGGCCGCAGCUGCAUCACGCCUCGCCUUGGCCACUAUGUACUGGCCAAUGGUGAAUGGUAAUCGAGGUACAGAUGGCAGAAAAUCAUCGGAUUCCGGAGUCCAUCGAGGGCGUCCUCCAUUGCACAAUCUCGGGAUAGAUGAUGAAGGUAAGCGGACUCGGUGCUCCUCAGUGCCAGUGCAAUAUUUGUAACUAAACCUGUCUGGAUCGAAAUCGGCGCGAGAGUUAGUGUGAUCGCGAGAGAGAUAAAGUAGAUCAUACCAGACAUCGGGAAGUGGAUCAUCAGAUGAGAAAUCGAAUCCUACAGCCUGUAGUAUCGCUGUAAUAGCACUCCCGAAGGCUGGAGUAGCGUCGUCGCAACCAUGUAAAUCAUGCUUCACCUUUACCAUAUUCUGCGAUAUGAUCCAGGCAAAGCAGGCAAGUCGUGGGUUAUCCAUAAACGGAAUCUGAAGUGUAAUGAGCUCAGUCUUCAAGACACCUUCCAUGUUGGCUCUAGAGAAAAUCGUGUGUGCUAAGAGUUUGUGCACAACUCUCACUGCUGGGUGGCUAAGAAGGGCUGACUUAGAUCUCCCACUAUCAUAGGUUCCAUGACCCAUCUCCCUCCACAGGUUAAGAUCAGGUUCAUCUUCAAGAUAAAUGCCAUCAGUGUAUGGAAGCUUAAGAGCUUCACAAACCUCGGAAAUGGUGAGAGAAUAAGGCUGUCCGCGGAUAGAGAAUGACAAGAUGCCAUCUGAUGCUCUUGGGUUCCUCCUCUUCGUGUGGUGGAGUGUAACGGUCGCUAAAAGCUCACGGACUAGCUCAGGAUAAGUCGGAAGGUUCAGCUCCAAGUAGGGUCUCAGCUUAAGUGCAUCGAUGUACCAGAUCACAUCCUCUCUGAUUCCAAGCAUCUCGAGUGUAUGAUAAUCAAUGCAAGGCGUGGGUUUGAUGUUCAGCUUCUUGAAACGCCUUGCAUAGUCCACUCUCGGGUUUUUCUCCCUCCCAAUGUAUCGAAUCUGUGUUGGUUCGGGAGGUGCUCGUGUUUCCCUCGAGUGCUGGAGCAAUCUCAUCACAUAGCUUCUUCUUCUCGGUCUGGCUUGGUUCAGCAUGUACUCUCCUAGAGUAGCAUCGUCAGGAAUGUCAUCGGAGCUGCCACCAGUUUGACGGCUCCUUCGGGAUCUGGUUUCAUCCAUUUUCUGCAAAAUGAAAUGAUUCUUGGAAAAAGAGUGAAUUUGGGUGCUAAUUUUAACAAAUUAAGAUCUGUUAUACUAAUACUAGUAUAAAGAGAUUAAUUAAAAUUAUUAGCAAACAAAAUUGAUAUUAAAUCAGAGAAAUCAAGUAGUUCAUGACUAAAUUCGGAUUUUUGAUGUCCUCAACAUAGAAAUCUUCUAAAAAUCGGUUUUUAUGAGCAAUUUCCAUGUGAAUUCUAAAGAUUACCCAAUACUAAUCACUAAUCACACAAGACUAAAUCAAAUUCAUCAAUUUUGCUGUUCCAAAUUCGAUUUUUAUGAAGCAUGAAGAAUCCAAAUUUCAAAAAUCUCAAUUCCUCUUAAGCUAGGUGCUAAAAUCUAUUUUUAGAUAACCUAAAUGGAUAAUCUAUCAUCCUUAAACUAUUUCCACCAUCAAUAGACCAAGAUUUUGGGUUUUUAAAGAAAACCCUAAGUUCAAAAUCGAGUAAGAAUGGUGAGUUUGAGGUCGAUACCUUGCUGGAAGAGAGAAUUGAUGGCAGAAUUGAAAUCAGCUUCGAAAAAGAGUGAGGUUUGAGCCAAAAAUCUCUUAAAAAGCUUAAAAAUUGAAAAAUGUGUUCUUUCUCCUAAAUCUCUAAGUCUUUUGGAGAAGAAGAGAAGAAAGAGUUUUGAUCCAAAAAGUUUGUUUCUUUUCUUUAAAAAGCGUUUUUGAAGCAAAAACUUUUGAAGCAAAAACGGAAAAUUUCUGGAAAUUUUUAAAUUUACGGGAACUUACCUUUUCUUGUUUGCACAGUAGGAAAGUUUAAAACUUACGGAGGAUCUUUUCGGGUUUUACCGGGAACAUUUCGGGAAACACCGGGAAUCACCGGGAAAUACCGAAAAACGGCAGAAAUCCGCGGAAUCAUCUCAACGACCAAUGGCCGCGGUCAGGAGACGCGCGACCGCGGUGGAUGAGGGCUCGACCGCGGUCGCAUUCACGGUGCCGCGCUCGAUGCACCUUUUGCCGCGGUCCCGUCAGUUGCGACCGCGGGUCUUCCUCCUGCGGCCUAUUGUCCAAUCUUCUCGUCUUUGCUGAGCCGAACAGCUAAAGACCUACCUUUUUCUCUUUGGUUUUUCUAAUUUUCUGAUUUUUUGUGUUUUUGUUUUAUAAAAUACCUAAAACUUAAAAAGAAAAAGAAAGCAUAAAUUCUAAAAUGGAAAAGAAAACUAAAAGAAAGAGUACCUAAAUGAGUUGCCUCCCAUUAAGCGCUUUUGUUUUAAGUCGUUUAGCUCGACGUAAGCAUGAAGAAUCAGGCUGAUUUGAAUGGCACUCCACUUGAUGUGCCAUUAUCACUUCCGGUUGGUGGAGGUUUUACUUCUUCCCCUUGAAGAGAAGUCUUCUUACCUUUAAUCUUCUUUCGGACCUUAAUGUUGUUCAGAACCCUUUUUGUGUUUUCGAUCAGCUCCUGGAUUUGGUCUUCACUAGUUUCUGAUGCAUCUGGUGGAAUGAUGAUUUUGAUCUUUGCAAAAGCUUUCGGCUUCUCCUUUUCUUUCUCUUUUGGCCUGUUUCCUCUGCUUGGAAAUUCAUCUAAGAUAGUAGGAUAGUACCUUUUUCUGUCCACAUUGAGGAAAACAGCACGCCGGUUUGCGUGAUCGAUUAUUGCUCCUACCGUAGCUAGGAAUGGCCUCUCGAAAAUGAGUGGCCUCUCCUUGUCUUUAUCCAUCUCCAGGACUUGGAAAUCUGCUGGAACAAUCUUAUCUCCCACUAGAACUUGUAGGUCAUGAAUCGCCCCUUCAGUAUCUUUUUGAGAUGAAUCUCCAAAGAUAACCUUAACCGUCGAUGUCCUUAAGGUUUUUAUGCCCAAUUUUUCGGCAAAUGUCUUAGAAAUGAUGUUGACAUUGGCUCCGGAAUCGCACAAGCAGUCUGUAAACUUGAUUCCUGAAAUGAAACACUGGAAAACAAAACGUCCCGGAUCAUCGGCUUUGGUAAGCCUUUGAAACGGUGAUCGUUCGGGUACCUUAAACGGUGGCUGCUUGGGAUCGAUAUCCUUGUACAGUGGUACAAAGAUCGGGAUUUCUUCUUCCUUUCCAUCGGUUCUGGACUCUUCUUCCC